CAGUCGCCACGGGAAUACGGAAGGUCCAGGCGUUAUCCGGAUUUAUUGGGUUUAAAGGGAGUGUAGGCGGUCUGUUAAGCGCGUUGUGAAGUUUAGGUGCUCAACAUCUAACUUGCAGCGCGAACUGGCGGACUUGAGUGCACGCAACGUAUGCGGAAUUCAUGGUGUAGCGGUGAAAUGCUUAGAUAUCAUGACGAACUCCGAUUGCGAAGGCAGCGUACGGGAGUGUUACUGACGCUUAAGCUCGAAGGUGCGGGUAUCGAACAGGAUUAGAGACCCCUGUAGUCCCUGUCUCUUAUAC
RNAcentral lists this ribosomal RNA (301 nucleotides) under uncultured bacterium. Its description in RNAcentral is "partial 16S ribosomal RNA". It matches the Rfam family "Bacterial small subunit ribosomal RNA", at positions 509 to 807 of the family's 1533-position model. The record is from RNAcentral.